RNAcentral lists this ribosomal RNA (459 nucleotides) under uncultured eukaryote. RNAcentral's name for it is "SSU rRNA". It matches the Rfam family "Eukaryotic small subunit ribosomal RNA", at positions 567 to 990 of the family's 1831-position model. The record is from RNAcentral.
CCAGCAGCUGCGGUAAUUCCAGCUCCAAUAGCGUAUAUUAAAGUUGUUGCAGUUAAAAAGCUCGUAGUCUGAAUCUUGGUUGGUGUUGAGCGUCCGUGGCUUCGGUCACGUGCACGUAACACACUGGCCAUAUCCUUCGGAGGAACAUGGGUGCUUUUCAUUAAGUGCUCAUGGGAUUCCGAUAGUUUACUUUGAGAAAAAUAGAGUGUUCAAAGCAGGCGUUUUUGCCUUGAAUGUAUUAGCAUGGGAUAAUGGAAUAGGACAUUGGCCUUGUGUUUUCAUCGCACGCCGACUUUUUUUAUAUCUUUGAUUAGGGGUUCGAGGGCCGAUGUAAUGGUCAACAGGAACAGUUGGGGAUAUUCAUACUCCAUGGCUAGAGGUGAAAUUCUUGGAUUCAUGGAAGAUGAACCAGUGCGAAAGCAUUUGUCAAAGAUGUUUUCAUUGAUCAAGAACGAAAGU